Molecule: small nuclear RNA, 146 nt
Organism: Nomascus leucogenys (northern white-cheeked gibbon)
Lineage: Eukaryota; Metazoa; Chordata; Mammalia; Primates; Hylobatidae
Gene: U4
Rfam family: U4 spliceosomal RNA
About the family: U4 small nuclear RNA (U4 snRNA) is a component of the major U2-dependent spliceosome.
Source: Ensembl
AGUUCUGUGCGGUGGCAGUAUCAUAGCCGAUGAAGUUUAUCCAAGGCACAAUUAUUGUUAAUUAAAAACUUUUCCCAAUACCCCACCAUGACAACUUGCAACAUAGUCAGCAUUGGCAAUUUUUUUUUUUUUUUUUUUUGACAGAG